GAUGAACGCUGGCGGCGUGCCUAAUACAUGCAAGUAGAACGCUGAAGGAAGGAGCUUGCUCUUUCCGGAUGAGUUGCGAACGGGUGAGUAACGCGUAGGUAACCUGCCUGGUAGCGGGGGAUAACUAUUGGAAACGAUAGCUAAUACCGCAUAACAGUAGAUGUUGCAUGAUAUCUACUUAAAAGGUGCAAUUGCACCACUACCAGAUGGACCUGCGUUGUAUUAGCUAGUUGGUGAGGUAACGGCUCACCAAGGCGACGAUACAUAGCCGACCUGAGAGGGUGAUCGGCCACACUGGGACUGAGACACGGCCCAGACUCCUACGGGAGGCAGCAGUAGGGAAUCUUCGGCAAUGGACGGAAGUCUGACCGAGCAACGCCGCGGGAGUGAAGAAGGUUGUCGGAUCGUAAAGCUCUGUUGUAAGAGAAGAACGAGUGUGAGAGUGGAAAGUUCACACUGUGACGGUAGCUUACCAGAAAGGGACGGCUAACUACGUG
This 497-nucleotide ribosomal RNA is filed under the name uncultured bacterium. Its description in RNAcentral is "partial 16S ribosomal RNA". It matches the Rfam family "Bacterial small subunit ribosomal RNA", at positions 28 to 507 of the family's 1533-position model. The record is from RNAcentral.